GGUGGUUCAGUGGUAGAGUGCUUGCCUUGUAUGCAUGAAGCCUGGGUUCGAUUCCUCAGCACCA
Molecule: transfer RNA, 64 nt
Filed under: Dipodomys ordii (Ord's kangaroo rat)
Lineage: Eukaryota; Metazoa; Chordata; Mammalia; Rodentia; Heteromyidae
Rfam family: tRNA
About the family: Transfer RNA (tRNA) molecules are approximately 80 nucleotides in length.
Source: Rfam by way of RNAcentral